AUUGAACGCUGGCGGCAGGCCUAACACAUGCAAGUCGAGCGGAUGAAGGGAGCUUGCUCCUGGAUUCAGCGGCGGACGGGUGAGUAAUGCCUAGGAAUCUGCCUGGUAGUGGGGGAUAACGUCCGGAAACGGGCGCUAAUACCGCAUACGUCCUGAGGGAGAAAGUGGGGGAUCUUCGGACCUCACGCUAUCAGAUGAGCCUAGGUCGGAUUAGCUAGUUGGUGGGGUAAAGGCCUACCAAGGCGACGAUCCGUAACUGGUCUGAGAGGAUGAUCAGUCACACGGGAACUGAGACACCGUCCAGGCUCCUACGGGAGGCAGCAGUGGGGAAUAUUGGACAGUGGGCGAAAGCCUUGUCCAGCCAUGCCGCGUGUGUGAAGAAGGUCUUCGGAUUGUAAAGCACUUUAAGUUGGGAGGAAGGGCAGUAAGUUAAUACCUUGCUGUUUUGACGUUACCAACAGAAUAAGCACCGGCUAACUUCGUG
Molecule: ribosomal RNA, 484 nt
Filed under: uncultured bacterium
Lineage: Bacteria
Description: partial 16S ribosomal RNA
Rfam family: Bacterial small subunit ribosomal RNA
Source: RNAcentral